This 1670-nucleotide ribosomal RNA is filed under the name Sinobdella sinensis. Its description in RNAcentral is "16S ribosomal RNA". It matches the Rfam family "Bacterial large subunit ribosomal RNA". The record is from RNAcentral. Lineage: Eukaryota; Metazoa; Chordata; Actinopteri; Synbranchiformes; Mastacembelidae.
CACUAAACAACUAGCCCCAAAACUAAGCACAACAAAUAAACAUUAAUAAACCCUAACACACCAAACCAGUUUAAAACAAACCAUUUUUUACCCUAGUAUGGGAGACAGAAAAGGAACACGGAGCUAUAGUGACAGUACCGCAAGGGAAUGAUGAAAGAGAAAUGAAACAACUCAACAAAGUACAAAAAAGCAGAGACUCUAACUCGUACCUUUUGCAUCAUGAUUUAGCAAGUACCCCCAAGCAAAGAGAACUUUAGUUUGAAACCCCGAAACUAAGUGAGCUACUCCAAGACAGCCCUUUAUGGGGCUAACCCGUCUCUGUGGCAAAAGAGUGGGAAGAUCUUUGAGUAGAGGUGACAGACCUACCGAACUUAGUUAUAGCUGGUUAUCCGAGAAAUGAAUAGAAGUUCAGCCUCCCGGCUUCUCCAUUCACCAGAUUCCAAACGAUGAAAAGAAACCAGGAGAGUUAGUCAAAGGGGGGACAGCCCCUUUGAGCAAGAUACAACUUUACCAGGAGGUUAAAGAUUAUACUCACCAAGGAAAAAUGCCCAAGUAGGCCUAAAAGCAGCCACCACAGCAGAAAGCGUUAAAGCUCAGACAUACUCACACCUCUUAUCCUAAUAAUUAAUUCUCAACCCCCUAAACCUAACGGAUUACUCCAUGCAACCAUGGAAGAAAUUAUGCUAAUAUGAGUAAUAAGAGAGCACUCAAUCUCUCUCCAAGCAUCUGUGUAAAUCGGAACGGACAACCCACCGAAUAUUAACGGCCCCAACCACAGAGGGUAAUGAACAUUAAUAUUACUCACUAGAAAAUCACCCACCAACCAACCGUUAACCUCACACUAGUAUGCCAAUAAGGAAAGACUAAAAGAAAAAGAAGGAACUCGGCAAACACCCACAAGCCUCGCCUGUUUACCAAAAACAUCGCCUCUUGCAAACUUAACGUAUAAGAGGUCCCGCCUGCCCCGUGACACCCAAGUUCAACGGCCGCGGUAUCCUGACCGUGCAAAGGUAGCGCAAUCACUUGUCUUUUAAAUGAAGACCUGUAUGAAUGGCAUAACGAGGGCUUAACUGUCUCCUUUUUCAAGUCAAUGAAAUUGAUCUCCCCGUGCAGAAGCGGGGAUAACUACAUAAGACGAGAAGACCCUGUGGAGCUUUAGACACUAGAGUAGCUCUCAUAAACACAUAUACACAUAAACUAAAAGAGCCCUGCUCUAACGUCUUCGGUUGGGGCGACCACGGGGAAACAAAUAACCCCCAUGCGGAAUAAGAGUACACCCUCUUAAAAACAAGAGCCACCGCUCUAAAAAACAGAAUCUCUGACCAUAAGAUCCGGCAAUGCCGAUCCACGGACCAAGUUACCCCAGGGAUAACAGCGCAAUCCUCUUCAAGAGCCCAUAUCGACAAGGGGGUUUACGACCUCGAUGUUGGAUCAGGACAUCCUAAUGGUGCAGCCGCUAUUAAGGGUUCGUUUGUUCAACGAUUAAAGUCCUACGUGAUCUGAGUUCAGACCGGAGUAAUCCAGGUCAGUUUCUAUCUAUGACAUGAUCUUUUCUAGUACGAAAGGACCGAAAAGAAGGGGCCCAUACUAAAAGUACGCCCCACCCCAACCUAAUGAAAACAACUAAAUUAGACAUAAGGGCAUAUCCCUUAUGCCUAAAACCAAGGCCU